MicroRNA precursor from Xenopus tropicalis (tropical clawed frog), 86 nucleotides. Ensembl annotates it as xtr-mir-205a. Its record names the gene xtr-mir-205a. NCBI's taxonomy places the organism in Eukaryota, Metazoa, Chordata, Amphibia, Anura, Pipidae. The record is from Ensembl.
CCACGUGUCCUGCUGUCCUUCAUUCCACCGGAGUCUGUCUCAUACAUAAUCAGAUUUCAGUGGAGUGAAGCACAAGAGGCAUGUAG